RNAcentral lists this ribosomal RNA (221 nucleotides) under uncultured bacterium. Its description in RNAcentral is "partial 16S ribosomal RNA". It matches the Rfam family "Bacterial small subunit ribosomal RNA", at positions 109 to 334 of the family's 1533-position model. The record is from RNAcentral.
AGUAAUGUCUGGGAAAUUGCCUGAUGGAGGGGGAUAACUGCUGGAAACGGUAGCUAAUACCGCAUAACAUCGCAAGACCAAAGAGGGGACCUUCGGGCCUCUUGCCAUCGGAUGUGCCCAGAUGGGAUUAGCUAGUAGGUGGGGUAACGGCUCACCUAGGCGACGAUCCCUAGCUGGUCUGAGAGGAUGACCAGCCACACUGGAACUGAGACACGGUCCAG